Chinchilla lanigera (long-tailed chinchilla) is the source of this 3444-nucleotide long non-coding RNA. Lineage: Eukaryota; Metazoa; Chordata; Mammalia; Rodentia; Chinchillidae. The record is from Ensembl.
ACAUUCGGUUCGUGUAUGACUGAAUCCGUGAAAUGCAUUGCUGUGCUGGAUGUCGGGGCUGCCAGGAGGAAGGAGACCUCUUCCCCGUGGAGCACACCAGUGAAUCGAGGCCCACCCGGAAGGAGCUCGUGGCGCGUGGUUGCAGAGAAGAGAUUUUUGAUGGGACGGCCUAGAUCUGACAUCGGCCUGAAGAGUGAGUGGAGGAUACAGAAGACGGCUGCGUGAACCUUGUUGCCACUGUAAACUCUUUCGGUGGCCUUCUCUGUACUCUGCAGAGCAUACUUCUUUUCCUACCUUUAGCACCUUUAGUAAAUGUAAAACCUUUCUACCUAUCGUGCAUUUCUUGUCCAAUUCUUCGUUCAGGACGAGAAGAACCUGGGAAGGGUGCCCAGGAAGAACAGGCACGCCAGGCCGUGCUAACGCUGCCACAUGUAACUACUCACAGUGGGAGGGUGCUUCGCCGAGCAGGCGACAGGGGACACGUUUGGACUUGGGACAGGACUACAGUGCUUUCCCUAAGAAUCCCCGGCAAUGCGCGGGACAGGGCAAACCUGGGAAGCCAAAGCAGGAGAAGCGGAAGACCGGACAGGGCAGGGCUGCUGGCGGAGGUCAGGAAGAGGUAGGCGAGGUGAGCAAGAGGGGCGUGGGAGGGAGAAGUAGGAGGCCAGACGGAGCUGGCCCCGCGGGGUGCCAUCUAACCCGCCUUUGCGAGUGUCCCCAGGAACUCCAGGACGCCUGGCCCAGCCGAGUGGCUCCAGCAGAGCAGAAGUCGCUGUGGACUCCUGUAUGGAGGCUACCAGAGGCCAGCCAGCCAGCGUCUCAGCCGCGUGAGGGAGAGAGGAGCGUUCCUGCUUCAUCUGAGCAGGGCCCCGGCCCAGGUCUACCAGGUCGCACAUGGCGGACAGCAGACCGAAAUUCCCGGAGAAGGCGCUCGCAAGGUUGAGAUCAAGUUGUGGGCCGUGUCCAUCUAGACCGCGAUGCUGGGAGACUGCUCCGACAGCUGGAGGACUGAAGUCCCGCCUCCUUGCCAGCUGUUCCUCCGAGGCUGCUCUCAGCCCCUCCGGCAUCUGCAUUCCUUCUGUGUGGCCCCUCCAUCUUCAAAGACAGCUACAAAGAACCUGCCUGGUGUCAAAUCCCUGUCGUCCUUCAAGCCACCCGAGCCAUCUGUUAGCUUCCACUAUCAGAUGGGCCCGAGGGGCCCACUGUGAAUAACAAAGACAGUCCUGUCGCUUAGGAGAUUCCAGGAUUCAGUUAUCUCCCCGGAAUGGGCCAAAGGCCAGUCAAAUUCCCUUCCCUCCUUCCCUCCUUCCCUCCUUCCCUUCUCCCUCCUCCCUUCCUCCUUUCCUCCCUCGUUCCCUCCCUCCAUCUUUCCCUUCCUCUUCCUCCACAACCAUGGCUGUUGUCACAUCCAAAAAAACUAAAACGAUUCUUUAUUUUCAUCAAAUAGCCAAUAUGUUGUAAUUGUCCCAUUAUCUCAUUAAAAAAUAGUUGAUUUCAGCAAAUCAGUGUCCUCACAAAGCUUCACAUAUUGUACUUGGCUGAUAUAUAUGCUAAGGUUCUUGUAGUUUAUAGGCAGAUUCGCCCUCUUUUUAUUUUUUGCUUACAAUUUAUUUGUAGAAGAAAAUGAGUCAUUUGUUCUAUAGAGUCUACCACAUUCUAGAUUUUGCAUAAAUUAUAUAACUAUAAAAUCCACCCAGAUACUGUUUACACUUAACAUAUUGUAAUUAAUUUAGCUAGAACGGAGAGUUCCGACAUACCUUGUAGAAAUGUCAUAGGCACAACUCAAAAGACCCUUGUGAAGCACUUAGUGAGCACCUUGGUGAUGUGGAAAAUUCUAGAAUAUCUAUUCUAGUCCACCCUUGAUCCAGGCCUCAAGACCAUCAUGUGUUACCUUAAAUUAACUCCAGGAGGACCCCAGGACUCCAUACAGGUCUGUGACUACGGUGUUGCUCAAAGCCACCACGCCCGGCUCCAACAAACAAACAAAUUGAAAAAGAAGUAAAAGAAGAAGGUUUGACCAACCAGGACUUUGGAGCUCUGGGGUCCACUUGUACGAACUCCAGAAAAAUAAAACUAGAACUCUGGCUGGGUUGGAAAUCUGGUUUUUGAGACCCAGAUGAUCUUCAAGCCAGGAUGUCACAGAUUUACAGAACGUAACUAUAAAAAAAAGUUCAAAUAAAUAAAAUUGGCUCUAUCUCAAAAACUAUGUCUUUUUACAAAGGUCUUAGAAAAGUGCUUCGAACCCUGAAAAUGGAUACGAGUCAUUUAUUCUGCUCCACCAUAAAUGCACUGGAAUUAUGUCUUCCUAUAAUCUGACAGGCCAUGAACAGCCCCAUUCUAUCCAGUGCAUUUGCCGGGAAUGCUGAAAACUGAGCCCAAAAUAAGGGCCUUUAAAAACCCUAUCACAAUUCCCUGGCAAUGGAUGCAUCUCCGAUCUUGUCUCUAAAACAGCGUCAUUUUCAUGUUCAGCGGGGAGAUUGUACCCCACCAUGAGUGUGCAUUAGAUGUUCUUAGUAUAUUCUCAGAGGGACGAGGCUAGGUCUCCCCAGUUGGGCUGCAGUCCAGGUUUUCGUCCUGUUGAACACAGUCUGAGGCUGGGCCGAAUACCGCAGCCACUCCAAGGACCCAUUCGUGGCUAGGAGGAGCCUUUGGCCUAGGGGAGCCCAGGAGGUUCCCUGACCUAAAUGACAAGGUGUUUGGCAGAUUUAAAAUGUACAAAGUGCUCUGCCACAGUGUGGGAACUCGGAAACACACAUGCUUCCAUAGGCCAACCAGAAGUCUCUCCAUCCUGAGAUCUGUCCCUCCACCAGCUGUCCGAUGACUUAGCUGCGAAGCCCAGAGCGUCUCAGAAAGAACCAGUUCAGUUCCUUCUCUAAAGCCAUCUGCCAAUUCCACCCCAAGAGAAUCUCUUUCAUCAUUCCUGUCACAGAAGGGUCCAGCAGCUGCCUCAGGUCCCAAUCUGUCAGAAAGACCACGGCAGUGGCUGCCGGAAACAAACUCGUCAGAAGCAGAGCAGAAGGCUGAGAGCGAAGGGUGGGGAGGUGCUCCCCAAGUCCCACAGGCGUGUGCACCGAGCCUUUGUUUUUGCUGGGUCUCUCUUUCUGUGAAAUUUCACAAACAUCUCUUUAUCAUUCAGCGCCUGGGGGACAUUUCUUAUUCUCCUUAGUAGCACCGCGCAGUCAAGCAGCUUUGGAAAACCCGCGUUGUGGUCUGGCCCUUUUCCUGGCUGAAACUCCUGUGCUUUCUUUUUUUUGUCUUUUUGAGACAGGGUCUCGCUAUUCAGUUCAGGCUGGCCUUGAGCUCACUUUGUAGCCCAGGCUGGUCUCGAACUCACAACGAUCCUCCUGCCUCAGCCUCCCAAGUGCUGGGAUUACAGGUGUGCGCCACCACGCCCGGCGUCCUCUGCUUUCUUCUUUGUCUUCUCAUCACCUUCUUUCACUCUCU